RNAcentral lists this ribosomal RNA (267 nucleotides) under uncultured bacterium. Its description in RNAcentral is "partial 16S ribosomal RNA". It matches the Rfam family "Bacterial small subunit ribosomal RNA", at positions 793 to 1055 of the family's 1533-position model. The record is from RNAcentral.
GUCCACGCUGUAAACGAUGAGUACUAGGUGUUGCGGGUAUUAAUCCCUGCAGUGCCGACGCUAACGCAUUAAGUACUCCGCCUGGGAAGUACGGCCGCAAGGCUAAAACUCAAAGGAAUUGACGGGGGCCCGCACAAGCGGUGGAGUAUGUGGUUUAAUUCGACGCAACGCGAAGAACCUUACCCAGGCUUGACAUCGAUGGAACCCUCUUGAAAGAGAGGGGUACUUCGCAAGAAGACCUGAAUACAGGUGCUGCAUGGCUGUCGU